Molecule: RNA transcript, 2344 nt
Organism: Morone saxatilis (striped sea-bass)
Lineage: Eukaryota; Metazoa; Chordata; Actinopteri; Moronidae
Gene: fzr1b
Gene name: fizzy/cell division cycle 20 related 1b
Exons: 14
Source: RefSeq, a predicted model, not a curated record
GCGCGCCGCGCUGACUGCACAGACAGCAGAAGUCAACCAAAGAAUUUCUGCUACAGCUGAUUCGGUCGCCAUCUUUGUCGUGAACAUAAACAACAGCAGCGAGUCGCGUUGGCACUUGGAUGUUCCGCUGUCAUUCGGAAGAAAGCGACCACCGUCCCCCCGCUGCAGAGCCGAUCUUUUCGACCGAAGAUGACACUUGGUUUGGUCCCCUGAGCCACCGCGUCAGUCGGGAGAUGGGGAUCCAGUGUGGAUUUCCUCAGCGGGAGGGAGCGGAGGUUUAAAGGGGGGCGGGGAGGGCAGCAGAGGGGCCUUGCUGCUCGUCAGCCCUGGAGGAGAUGGACCAAGAGUACGAGAGAAGACUGCUGAGGCAAAUCAACCACCAGAACCUGCCGACAGAGGCCCGCCUGUCAAAGUGUGUCAGUGCUACCUGCAGUCCUGUCAGUGUUAAGUCAGGGGACCGCUUCAUUCCCACCCGCGCUGGGAGCAACUGGAGCAUCAACUUCCACUACGCCAACGAGAACUGUCGCUCGCCAAACCAGAACCAUAAAGCAAAGGAUGCCAGCUCAGAUUCAAGCAAAGAUGCUGUGGCGUAUGCUGCCCUGUUGAGGAAUGAGUUACUGGGGGCAGGGAUAGAGACUGUGCCAGACCCUCACACAGACGACCGGCGGCAUCCAACCCUCUCUCAAGACUCUCACAGCCUUUUUAGGUACACUGUCCACACUAAGAGAGUGCCUUUCGAUAGCGAUCACGAAGUCUCCCCAUACUCCCUUUCUCCACUUAGUAACAAGAGUCACAAGCUGCUCCGCUCCCCUCGUAAACCAGCCCGUAAGAUCUCCAAGAUCCCCUUCAAAGUGCUGGAUGCUCCGGAGCUGCAGGAUGACUUCUACCUCAACCUGGUAGACUGGUCAGCCGGCAACUUGCUCAGUGUCGGCCUGGGAGCCUGCGUCUACCUGUGGAGUGCCUGCACCAGCCAGGUGACAAGGUUGUGUGACCUGUCAGUGGAUGGAGACUCUGUUACAUCAGUUUGUUGGAAUGAGAGGGGGAGUCUUGUUGCUGUCGGAACCCACAAAGGUUACGUUCAGAUCUGGGACGCAGCGGGAGGGAGGAAGCUGACCAGCCUGGAGGGUCACUCAGCACGUGUAGGUGCCCUGGCGUGGAACGGGGAGCAGCUGUCGUCGGGGAGUCGGGACCGAGUGAUCCUACAGCGGGACGUCAGAACCCCCCCUACUGCUGAGAGGAGGCUGCAAGGUCACAGACAAGAGGUGUGUGGCCUCAAGUGGUCUCCUGACCACCAGCACCUCGCGUCCGGAGGCAACGACAACAAGCUGCUGGUGUGGAACAGCUCCAGCCUUCUCCCCGUGCAGCAGUACAGUGACCACCUGGCGGCGGUGAAGGCCAUCGCCUGGUCCCCACACCAACACGGGUUGCUGGCGUCAGGGGGUGGGACCGCCGACCGCUGCCUGCGCUUCUGGAACACGCUGACGGGUCAGGCGCUGCAGAGCACAGACACCGGCUCCCAGGUCUGCAACCUGGCGUGGUCCAAGCACGCCAACGAACUGGUGAGCACUCACGGCUACUCUCAGAACCAGAUCCUGGUGUGGAAGUAUCCGUCACUAACGCAGGUGGCCAAGUUGACAGGACACUCCUACAGAGUGCUGUAUCUGGCUGUGUCACCUGACGGGGAGGCCAUCGUUACAGGAGCCGGGGAUGAGACACUACGUUUCUGGAACGUCUUCAGUAAGACACGCUGCACCAAGGUACAGUGGACUACAGUACCACAUAUCCAGUCUAUACAACUCUGAUGAGGCCUCUACUUAACGAUAGUUACUGAACGAUAUCUUCAAAGUACUUCAAGGAAUCAAAGUCGGUGCUGAACCUCUUCACGCGAAUACGAUAGUGAAUAGCCCGGGUCAGGACUGGUUUAAGGAGGAGCCCGCUGUGCUGAGCUGUGGUUGAAAUGCACCAGAGUCACCGACAAACACUCACAGACUAGAGCCCUCUCAUCUCAGCACCAUCACUCAGUGCACCAAGCAACACUACAGGAGUCCUCCUCAAAUCCACUUUUUCUACAGAGGAUCCCAACUUCCAACAAUAACUGCCAUCCCUCACAGUGAUGUCACUGGUUACAGAAACAAAAACAGUGUAUUGUCAGGACACGUUGUCUGCUUAAAAAAAAAAGAAAGUUGGUCUUGUUUUCUUUUCUGUUGUGGAAGUGAUGAAAUUGUUUUAUUAUAUAUAUUAGCAGAAGUAUACACGUACAAGAGUUCAAAGCUAUAUAAUGUCAUGCCGUCACAUUUUUAAAAGGCUCUCCUUUAUAACAGAGAGAAGAAGAAGCCUGGCUCGG